AUUGAACGCUGGCGGUAUGCUUAACACAUGCAAGUCGAACGGUAACAGGCCUUCGGGCGCUGACGAGUGGCGGACGGGUGAGUAACGCGUAGGAAUCUGCCUCAUAGUGGGGGACAACGUGGGGAAACUCACGCUAAUACCGCAUACGCCCUACGGGGGAAAGCGGGGGAUCUUCGGACCUCGCGCUAUGAGAUGAGCCUGCGUUAGAUUAGCUAGUUGGUAGGGUAAAGGCCUACCAAGGCGACGAUCUAUAGCUGGUCUGAGAGGACGAUCAGCCACACUGGGACUGAGACACGGUCCAGACUCCUACGGGAGGCAGCAGUGGGGGAAUUUUGGACAAUGGGCGCAAGCCUGAUCCAGCCAUUCCGCGUGCAGGAUGAAGGCCUCGGUUGGUAAACUAGCUUUGUUACGGAACGAAACGGUAC
This 425-nucleotide ribosomal RNA is filed under the name uncultured bacterium. RNAcentral describes it as "bacterial SSU rRNA". It matches the Rfam family "Bacterial small subunit ribosomal RNA", at positions 30 to 456 of the family's 1533-position model. The record is from RNAcentral.